This 415-nucleotide ribosomal RNA is filed under the name uncultured bacterium. RNAcentral describes it as "bacterial SSU rRNA". It matches the Rfam family "Bacterial small subunit ribosomal RNA", at positions 917 to 1333 of the family's 1533-position model. The record is from RNAcentral.
GGACCCGCACAAGCGGUGGAGCAUGUGGUUUAAUUCGAUGCAACGCGAAAAACCUUACCUACUCUUGACAUACUUGGAAGCUCUUGUAAUGAGAGUGUGCCUUUUGGAACCAAGAUACAGGUGCUGCAUGGCUGUCGUCAGCUCGUGUCGUGAGAUGUUCCGUUAAGUCGGAUAACGAGCGCAACCCUUACCCUUAUUUGCCAGCGAUUCGGUCGGGAACUAUAAGGGGACUGCCGGUGAUAAACCGGAGGAAGGUGAGGACGACGUCAAGUCAUCAUGGCCCUUACGAGUAGGGCUACACACGUGCUACAAUGGGGAAUACAGACGGACGCUAAGCCGCGAGGUGGUGCUAAUCUCACAAAACCGGUCGUAGUCCGGAUUGCAGUCUGCAACUCGACUGCAUGAAGCUGGAAUC